RNAcentral lists this long non-coding RNA (1393 nucleotides) under Carassius auratus (goldfish). Its description in RNAcentral is "lncRNA (ENSCARG00000015151.1)". Lineage: Eukaryota; Metazoa; Chordata; Actinopteri; Cypriniformes; Cyprinidae. The record is from RNAcentral.
UAAAGCUAAAGCAAUCUUUCAAGAAUUGUGCUGCAUGAAAGUUGAGUGGGAUGAGGAGUUACCAGUGAACAUAGCAGCACAAUGGCACAGAUGGUUGAACGACUUGCCUCUGUUGUCAGCACUGACAAUUCCAAGAUGCCUUAGACCAACAUCUACAAGUUGUUUAUCAGCCCAGCUCCAUCACUUUUCUGAUGCUUCAGAACUGGCUUACGGUGCUGUUUCAUACAUCAGGAUUGGUGAAAUCCUGCAGGCUGGUGAUGUCAAAGGCCAGACUUGCUCCAAUCAAGCCAGUUAGCAUACCACGACUGGAGCUACUAGCAGCAGUUGUUGCUACGGAGCUGGAUCAGCAUAUCAAGCAACACUUAGAGAUCCCAAUUGAAAGGACUUUCUUUUGGACAGACGGUACUAUUGUACUUCAGUACAUUAAAAACAAGCAUUGUCGUUUCCAGACAUUUGUCGCCAACCGUAUAUCAAAAAUACAUGAACGCUCAGAAUCAUGCCAGUGGAGACAUAUUGAUUCUGCCUCUAACCCUGCGGAUGACGUCUCUAGAGGGAUGACUAUGAGAGAGAUUUUGGCAAGUGAACGAUGGAAAUCUGGUCCACACUUUCUUAGAUACGAUGAGGAACAUUGGCCUGCUCAACCUAUUAUAAAUGACUUGCCGGAUGAAGCAGAGAUCAAACGAGGCAAAGAAGUCUAUGCAGCUAGCAUAACACCAAACCAAGCAAUUAAAAAUGCAGUAGACAGGCUAAUGGAACGAUACUCCAGUUGGCAUCGUUUGAAAAGAGCUACUGCUAUCUUGUUGCAUCUCAAGGCUUUGUUACGCAAGAAACUGAGGGUUCAUCUUUCUGACCCCAUCACUAUUGGUGAGCUCCAGCAAGCAGAGUUAGCCAUUGUCAAUUACGUACAAGCUGCAACUUUCAGAUCUACUGAAGCCAAGCCUAGUUCUCUUCUCAAACUUAAACCCUUUAAAGAUGAAACUGAUCAACUCCUUCGUGUCGGAGGCAGACUAAUGAAUGCCCCAAUUCCUUACGAGGCUAAACAUCCAGUGAUCCUACCUAACAAUCAUCACGUCACCCAGCUAAUUAUUCGUCACUAUCAUCUUCGCUUGGGUCAUGCAGGGCCAGAACGAGUUCUUACAGAAAUUCGUCAAUGUUUCUGGAUUCUAAAGGGACGUGCUGUCAUUACACAAACUCUGAAGUCAUGCCUACAGUGUCGCAAGUUAAGAGCUAAGCCACAAGCCCAGCAAAUGGCAAACUUACCUGACUCUAGAGUGACACCAUGUGAGCCUCCAUUCACUCGAGUGGGCAUAGACUACUUCGGGCCAUUCUUGAUUAAGAAGGCACACAGUGAACAAAAGAGGUAUGGAUGGUUGUUUACAUGUCUCACUACGAG